CAGUAGCCGCGGGAAAACGAGGGGGGCAAGCGUUGUUCGGAAUUAUUGGGCGUAAAGCGUGCGUAGGCGGCUUCUUAAGUCGGAUGUGAAAUCCCUGAGCUUAACUUAGGAAUUGCAUUCGAUACUGGGAAGCUAGAGUAUGGGAGAGGAUGGUAGAAUUCCAGGUGUAGCGGUGAAAUGCGUAGAGAUCUGGAGGAAUACCGAUGGCGAAGGCAGCCAUCUGGCCUAAUACUGACGCUGAGGUACGAAAGCAUGGGGAGCAAACAGGAUUAGAUACCCGGGUAGUCCCUGUCUCUUAUAC
RNAcentral lists this ribosomal RNA (301 nucleotides) under uncultured bacterium. RNAcentral's name for it is "partial 16S ribosomal RNA". It matches the Rfam family "Bacterial small subunit ribosomal RNA", at positions 509 to 807 of the family's 1533-position model. The record is from RNAcentral.